RNAcentral lists this long non-coding RNA (500 nucleotides) under Monodelphis domestica (gray short-tailed opossum). RNAcentral describes it as "lncRNA (ENSMODG00000051465.1)". The record is from RNAcentral. Lineage: Eukaryota; Metazoa; Chordata; Mammalia; Didelphimorphia; Didelphidae.
UUUUCAAAAAAUUUAAAAAAUAAAAUAAAAAACUAUGUUGCUGAAUGAAGAUGCAAUGGUGCUUUUUGUUGGUUUGUUAUUGAUUUGCUGUUUUAACCUUAUUUCAGUUCUGCAGACCUGACAGAGGGUAUGCAGCUAGGGCUAAUAAUGGACAUGAACUGAGUUGACUUCAUCAUAGUGAUGCCAUUUUGUCCUCUUUGAGUUUGAAGAACAACUAUUGUGUCAAGAUACUGAAGAUAUCACAGCUUCCCAUCAUCUCUCAGUAAAGGCGCUUAUCAAGAUUCUUCUUCUUUAUCUGUUUUCUUCCAGGUGUGUUACCAAGAGACACAGAGCUCUUUGAGGCUGCAACUGGAAAAGAAAAAAAGAGGCAAUUUCAUCUCUAUUUUCAGCAAAUAAAGGCUUUGAAGAUACACAUGACUCUCCUGCUGUACUUUGUGUAUCUCAGCAAGAGGUCCAAGUCAGCAUGCAUUUAUUCAGGUAAAUGCAUGUAAAUUUACACC